GGGCGCGUAGCUCAGCGGUAGAGCUCUGGUUUUACACACCAGCGGUCGGCGGUUCGAUCCCGUCCGCGCCCACC
RNAcentral lists this transfer RNA (74 nucleotides) under Mycobacterium tuberculosis variant bovis. RNAcentral describes it as "tRNA-Val". It matches the Rfam family "tRNA". From Rfam's summary of the family: Transfer RNA (tRNA) molecules are approximately 80 nucleotides in length. RNAcentral also lists the same sequence under 5 other names. Lineage: Bacteria; Bacillati; Actinomycetota; Actinomycetes; Mycobacteriales; Mycobacteriaceae. The record is from RNAcentral.